CCGCUGCUGUCGUCUUGUACAGCUCGGACCCUUUGACAGGCGACCACAUGAUCUCCAGGGUCUCGGUAGAAACCAGCUUUAUGGUAACAUCAUGUGGACAACAAGGAACUGGAGGGGAGGAGAAAUGCAAACACAGGCCACCAUUGUUAUCAGGAUAGCGUGACCACAAACCUGCAGGUGCUUCUGUGUGAUGCUCCUACUGGUGGUGUAGUUGCGGACGUGUGCGAAAAGGCUGGAGCCGGCACUGUUGUAUGGGAACACGCUGGUGAGAUGAAACGACAGGUGCUUUAUUGUUUCAGCAAAAUACCAAAGAGCCCAAAGGCUGCAACUCCUCCCCUCAGGGGAGUGUGGGUGGCCUAUCAGAGCAAGAGAUGGGAGCUCACCUUUGUUAGAUGAGGACUUUGAUAAAGAACAACAUUUUCAUGUUUUGUUUUUGCAUCCAUUCCACUGAAAUACAUUAAUUGAUGUGAACUACAUUCUGCAAGUUAAAUAUUUUGCACCCACUAAUGAAAUUCUGUGAACAGAAGAGACAACUUAAUACAAGUGAUGACCUGCUUUUGUUGUUUGGUGUCUGGAAGGAAGUUAAAGCUUAUUGGCUGGUUAAGGUUUCAACGGGACAAUAUUUGAUUUCUCCUGAUUUUCUGUCUUGUGAUAUCUAGUGAUAGAUGACACCUGCUUUUGAGUAACUGGUCAUGUUGUCCUCAAUUUGUCAAUGCCUGAGUUUACACAGAUUUAUCAGGUCAUCAAGAGCGCUGAAGAUUUGAUUACUAUAAAUAUAGGCAUUGUGUUUUAGUUCAUUCUGGAAGACUUGCUCUACAGUAUGCAACACACAUUGAUUUUCUCUGACACACACGUUGUAAAUUGUUUAUUUUCAAAGUUAUUUUUAAUUUCUGUAGUGUUUUUGUGUGUUUACUUGAAUCAGACAGUGGCCAGAGGUAGGAAAUGUGGGGUAAAAAGUAAAGGAAUGACAAGCCGACAAGAAAUCAAACCAGGGACUCGCUACUGAGGACAUACACAACCAUCUGAGAUCCACCCGAACCACCCAGCUAUCAGGUCGUCCCUUAAGUACAGUAAAUUUACCUGCUUCAGAGUCACCUGAGGCUAGGAUUCAUUGUCACUCUCUAACAAAUGAAUAAGCAGAAACAAGCUGGCUUAUGUAACCAUAUAGAAAACCGGUUUGGUACAUUUGGAUUUGGAGAACAUUUAGAAACUUAAACUACAGUGAACCUUUCUGUGCUCUAUAGAAUUACCGUACGGGCAAAUAGUUUCAGGUAAAGCGACAAAAACAACGUUAGAAUAAUAGCUUCUCUACUCUCCAGUGGCUGAGUAUCUGCGUCAGGUGUGUGUUAUGAAAAGGUGCUCAGUGGAUCCCAAAGGAGCAGCGAUGGACAAACUCUUUUGUGCACAAAGGCCGAGAGGAGAAAGCUGAUCAAGUUCGACUUCACAGAAAUGAGAUGAUUACUGCUUUGAAAGAGUUAAAGAGAACAAAAAAGCAGCAGCGUCGGAUUUCCCUCAUAAAUUGCCUUCAGUACAGAUGAUCUUCACAGUUCAUCAGCAUGUGAUAAACC
This is a long non-coding RNA of Amphiprion ocellaris (clown anemonefish), 1568 nucleotides long. RefSeq lists it as uncharacterized. NCBI's taxonomy places the organism in Eukaryota, Metazoa, Chordata, Actinopteri, Pomacentridae. The record is from RefSeq and is a predicted model, not a curated record. The transcript has 4 exons.